UUUGGUUAAGUUAGAAAGGGCGCACGGUGGAUGCCUUGACACUAGGAGUCGAUGAAGGACGGGACUAACGCCGAUAUGCUUCGGGGAGCUGUAAGUAAGCUUUGAUCCGAAGAUUUCCGAAUGGGGAAACCCACCAUACGUAAUGGUAUGGUAUCCUUAUCUGAAUACAUAGGGUAAGGAAGACAGACCCAGGGAACUGAAACAUCUAAGUACCUGGAGGAAGAGAAAGCAAAUGCGAUUUCCUGAGUAGCGGCGAGCGAAACGGAACAUAGCCCAAACCAAGAGGCUUGCCUCUUGGGGUUGUAGGACAUUCUAUACGGAGUUACAAAGGAACGAGGUAGACGAAGCGACCUGGAAAGGUCCGUCGUAGAGGGUAACAACCCCGUAGUCGAAACUUCGUUCUCUCUUGAAUGUAUCCUGAGUACGGCGGAACACGUGAAAUUCCGUCGGAAUCUGGGAGGACCAUCUCCCAAGGCUAAAUACUCCCUAGUGAUCGAUAGUGAACCAGUACCGUGAGGGAAAGGUGAAAAGCACCCCGGAAGGGGAGUGAAAGAGAUCCUGAAACCGUGUGCCUACAAAUAGUCAGAGCCCGUUAACGGGUGAUGGCGUGCCUUUUGUAGAAUGAACCGGCGAGUUACGAUCCCGUGCGAGGUUAAGCUGAAGAGGCGGAGCCGCAGCGAAAGCGAGUCUGAAUAGGGCGUUUAGUACGUGGUCGUAGACCCGAAACCAGGUGAUCUACCCAUGUCCAGGGUGAAGUUCAGGUAACACUGAAUGGAGGCCCGAACCCACGCACGUUGAAAAGUGCGGGGAUGAGGUGUGGGUAGCGGAGAAAUUCCAAUCGAACCUGGAGAUAGCUGGUUCUCCCCGAAAUAGCUUUAGGGCUAGCCUUAAGUGUAAGAGUCUUGGAGGUAGAGCACUGAUUGGACUAGGGGUCCUCAUCGGAUUACCGAAUUCAGUCAAACUCCGAAUGCCAAUGACUUAUCCUUAGGAGUCAGACUGCGAGUGAUAAGAUCCGUAGUCAAAAGGGAAACAGCCCAGACCGCCAGCUAAGGUCCCAAAGUGUGUAUUAAGUGGAAAAGGAUGUGGAGUUGCUUAGACAACUAGGAUGUUGGCUUAGAAGCAGCCACCAUUUAAAGAGUGCGUAAUAGCUCACUAGUCGAGUGACUCUGCGCCGAAAAUGUACCGGGGCUAAAUACACCACCGAAGCUGCGGAUUGAUACCGAAUGGUAUCAGUGGUAGGGGAGCGUUCUAAGGACAGUGAAGUCAGACCGUAAGGACUGGUGGAGUGCUUAGAAGUGAGAAUGCCGGUAUGAGUAGCGAAAGACGGGUGAGAAUCCCGUCCACCGAAUGCCUAAGGUUUCCUGAGGAAGGCUCGUCCGCUCAGGGUUAGUCAGGACCUAAGCCGAGGCCGACAGGCGUAGGCGAUGGACAACAGGUUGAUAUUCCUGUACCACCUCUUUAUCGUUUGAGCAAUGGAGGGACGCAGAAGGAUAGAAGAAGCGUGCGAUUGGUUGUGCACGUCCAAGCAGUUAGGCUGAUAAGUAGGCAAAUCCGCUUAUCGUGAAGGCUGAGCUGUGAUGGGGAAGCUCCUUAUGGAGCGAAGUCUUUGAUUCCCCGCUGCCAAGAAAAGCUUCUAGCGAGAUAAAAGGUGCCUGUACCGCAAACCGACACAGGUAGGCGAGGAGAGAAUCCUAAGGUGUGCGAGAGAACUCUGGUUAAGGAACUCGGCAAAAUGACCCCGUAACUUCGGGAGAAGGGGUGCUUUCUUAACGGAAAGCCGCAGUGAAUAGGCCCAAGCGACUGUUUAGCAAAAACACAGCUCUCUGCGAAGCCGUAAGGCGAAGUAUAGGGGGUGACACCUGCCCGGUGCUGGAAGGUUAAGGAGAGGGGUUAGCGUAAGCGAAGCUCUGAACUGAAGCCCCAGUAAACGGCGGCCGUAACUAUAACGGUCCUAAGGUAGCGAAAUUCCUUGUCGGGUAAGUUCCGACCCGCACGAAAGGUGUAACGAUUUGGGCACUGUCUCAACCAGAGACUCGGUGAAAUUAUAGUACCUGUGAAGAUGCAGGUUACCCGCGACAGGACGGAAAGACCCCGUGGAGCUUUACUGUAGCCUGAUAUUGAAUUUUGGUACAGUUUGUACAGGAUAGGCGGGAGCCAUUGAAACCGGAGCGCUAGCUUCGGUGGAGGCGCUGGUGGGAUACCGCCCUGACUGUAUUGAAAUUCUAACCUACGGGUCUUAUCGACCCGGGAGACAGUGUCAGGUGGGCAGUUUGACUGGGGCGGUCGCCUCCUAAAGUGUAACGGAGGCGCCCAAAGGUUCCCUCAGAAUGGUUGGAAAUCAUUCGUAGAGUGCAAAGGCAUAAGGGAGCUUGACUGCGAGACCUACAAGUCGAGCAGGGACGAAAGUCGGGCUUAGUGAUCCGGUGGUUCCGCAUGGAAGGGCCAUCGCUCAACGGAUAAAAGCUACCCCGGGGAUAACAGGCUUAUCUCCCCCAAGAGUCCACAUCGACGGGGAGGUUUGGCACCUCGAUGUCGGCUCAUCGCAUCCUGGGGCUGUAGUCGGUCCCAAGGGUUGGGCUGUUCGCCCAUUAAAGCGGUACGCGAGCUGGGUUCAGAACGUCGUGAGACAGUUCGGUCCCUAUCCGUCGUGGGCGUAGGAAAUUUGAGAGGAGCUGUCCUUAGUACGAGAGGACCGGGAUGGACGCACCGCUGGUGUACCAGUUGUUCUGCCAAGGGCAUAGCUGGGUAGCUAUGUGCGGAAGGGAUAAGUGCUGAAAGCAUCUAAGCAUGAAGCCCCCCUCAAGAUGAGAUUUCCCAUAGCGUAAGCUAGUAAGAUCCCUGAAAGAUGAUCAGGUUGAUAGGUUCGAGGUGGAAGCAUGGUGACAUGUGGAGCUGACGAAUACUAAUAGAUCGAGGACUUAACCAUAUAA
RNAcentral lists this ribosomal RNA (2930 nucleotides) under Bacillus cereus. RNAcentral describes it as "bacterial LSU rRNA". It matches the Rfam family "Bacterial large subunit ribosomal RNA". The record is from RNAcentral. RNAcentral also lists the same sequence under 2 other names. Lineage: Bacteria; Bacillati; Bacillota; Bacilli; Caryophanales; Bacillaceae.